AUCGAAGAGGUUGCAACCAACAAGAGUAGCUGGUGGAGUUUCUGCAAAAAACCAGGAAGCCAGUCAAAGGGGCGGUUGCCGAAGCUUUAAUUAUUGCGGUAAUUAAUAAGCUGGGACGUAAUCUAACAGGUUACGGACUGUCGCAAUUUUAUAUUCGCGGAGCGCUAUCG
RNAcentral lists this non-coding RNA (170 nucleotides) under uncultured Lactobacillus sp. RNAcentral's name for it is "Lysine riboswitch". It matches the Rfam family "Lysine riboswitch aptamer". Rfam says of the family: Riboswitches are metabolite binding domains within certain messenger RNAs that serve as precision sensors for their corresponding targets. Allosteric rearrangement of mRNA structure is mediated by ligand binding, and this results in modulation of gene expression. The record is from RNAcentral. Lineage: Bacteria; Bacillati; Bacillota; Bacilli; Lactobacillales; Lactobacillaceae.